GGGGAUUUAGCUCAGUGGCAUAAGCAUCUGCCUUGCAAGGAGACAGUCGUGGGCUCAAUCCCCA
Cavia porcellus (domestic guinea pig) is the source of this 64-nucleotide transfer RNA. It matches the Rfam family "tRNA". From Rfam's summary of the family: Transfer RNA (tRNA) molecules are approximately 80 nucleotides in length. NCBI's taxonomy places the organism in Eukaryota, Metazoa, Chordata, Mammalia, Rodentia, Caviidae. The record is from Rfam.